AGUGAACGCUGGCGGUAGGCCUAACACAUGCAAGUCGAACGGCAGCACAGUAAGAGCUUGCUCUUACGGGUGGCGAGUGGCGGACGGGUGAGGAAUACAUCGGAAUCUACUUUUUCGUGGGGGAUAACGUAGGGAAACUUACGCUAAUACCGCAUACGACCUACGGGUGAAAGCAGGGGAUCUUCGGACCUUGCGCGAUUGAAUGAGCCGAUGUCGGAUUAGCUAGUUGGCGGGGUAAAGGCCCACCAAGGCGACGAUCCGUAGCUGGUCUGAGAGGAUGAUCAGCCACACUGGAACUGAGACACGGUCCAGACUCCUACGGGAGGCAGCAGUGGGGAAUAUUGGACAAUGGGCACAAGCCUGAUCCAGCCAUACCGCGUGGGUGAAGAAGGCCUUCGGGUUGUAAAGCCCUUUUGUUGGGAAAGAAAAGCAGCAGGUUAAUACCCCGCUGUUCUGACGGUACCCAAAGAACAAGCACCGGCUAACUUCGUG
RNAcentral lists this ribosomal RNA (492 nucleotides) under uncultured bacterium. RNAcentral describes it as "partial 16S ribosomal RNA". It matches the Rfam family "Bacterial small subunit ribosomal RNA", at positions 29 to 507 of the family's 1533-position model. The record is from RNAcentral.